Molecule: long non-coding RNA, 1109 nt
Organism: Carassius auratus (goldfish)
Lineage: Eukaryota; Metazoa; Chordata; Actinopteri; Cypriniformes; Cyprinidae
Exons: 4
Source: RefSeq, a predicted model, not a curated record
GGAGCAACGCGCGCGAGAGCGUCUGCGCAUGCGCUUUGAAAUCCAGACCACACCAGGACCGUUGGUUUGGAAAGGACACAUGAGGGUACUGCCUGUCUUGUUUUCAGAGCUCGUUAAAAGUGACAUUUGCUGUACAUUUGGAAUUCCAAAGCCUGUUCAGACAAAUUACGAGCUAAGUCAGUCCCCAACAAAGGCAGCUAGCCUUGUAGAAGUCGGUGAAUUAACUGAUGAAUACCCCUUGGCUGACUAUUUGAUUGGACAUGUGCAGAUGGUAACGUUAAAGAGAUUUUUCUGCUGCAAAGGAUGACAUUGAUGCAGCUUGUGAACUUGCCAUCAGAGGACUGUGUAUCUAUCUUAAUGAGGACUCUAAAGAUCUCAUUCAGGAGUAUGCGGACAUGGAAGAAGAUCUUUUACAGUGUGCGAUUGAGAAGACUACCAUGGGCAUCUUCGUGAUAAAGCACACUGCAGACAAUGAAGCCCAUGAUGUAGGCAUUGUGCUAGAGGGUGUAGCAGUGCUUCAGGACAUCGACAGUGUGGAUUUUGCAACUUCAAUGUUUUUGGUCUAAUUUAUGCUCUUAACCUGCAGUACCCCACAAAGUUGCGUUUUACAUAUGAAAUUUAGCAAAAACUCAUCAUGGACUUGGAUGCGGGUGAAUUCUCGAUCAAGGCCCAAAAUUUCAAAUCUGAACUCCACCAGUGAGAUGGACUGAUUUUUGAAUGACUACUGAGACUACAAACAAUCAACCUCGGAAAAUUUCAGCAGCCUUCAUGCAAGACCACUGCAGAGGGUAAACCGUGAUCUUGUUGUUUAGACUGUUCCCCUUUGCCUGCUCUCGUUUCUUUAUCUUUUUUUUUUUGUCUGAAUUUGGCCCUUCGUUGGACUGGCUCAGAAGUUGAUUGAUUAGAGAGCUGAAUCUAUGAAACAUGGUUGAACUAGCAUAAAUAAGAUACUUUGUUUAUAGUUUAGGUAAGGGUCAGAUACUGUAUUUUCACAUUGUUUUGUAAUGUCUAUAUAUAAUUAUCUUUGAAACUAAAGCGUUUUUCUUGAAAUAACAUUUCCAGGUAGGGCUGCACGAUAUUGGGAAAAAAUGACAUUGCGAUAUUUUAUU